Molecule: ribosomal RNA, 373 nt
Filed under: uncultured bacterium
Lineage: Bacteria
Description: bacterial SSU rRNA
Rfam family: Bacterial small subunit ribosomal RNA
Source: RNAcentral
GGGGGGAGCAAGCGUUGUUCGGAUUUACUGGGCGUAAAGGGCGCGUAGGCGGCCAGCACAAGUCAGUUGUGAAAUCUCCGAGCUUAACUCGGAAAGGUCAACUGUUACUGUGCGGCUAGAGUGCAGAAGGGGCAACUGGAAUUCUCGGUGUAGCGGUGAAAUGCGUAGAUAUCGAGAGGAACACCUGCGGCGAAGGCGGGUUGCUGGGCUGACACUGACGCUGAGGCGCGAAAGCUAGGGGAGCGAACGGGAUUAGAUACCCCGGUAGUCCUAGCCUUAAACGAUGAAUGCUUGGUGUCUGGGGUUAUAAAGUCCCUGGGUGCCGUCGCUAACGCUUUAAGCAUUCCGCCUGGGGAGUACGGUCGCAAGACUG